GAUGAACGCUGGCGGCGUGCCUAACACAUGCAAGUCGAGCGAAUGAAGUUCCUUCGGGGACGGAUUUAGCGGCGGACGGGUGAGUAACACGUGGGCAACCUGCCUCAUAGAGGGGAAUAGCCUUCCGAAAGGGAGAUUAAUACCGCAUAAGAUUGUAGUACCGCAUGAUACAGCAAUUAAAGGAGCAAUCCGCUAUGAGAUGGGCCCGCGGCGCAUUAGCUAGUUGGUGAGGUAACGGCUCACCAAGGCGACGAUGCGUAGCCGACCUGAGAGGGUGAUCGGCCACAUUGGGACUGAGACACGGCCCAGACUCCUACGGGGAGGCAGCAGGUGGGGAAUAUUGCACAAGUGGGGGAAACCCUGAUGCAGCAACGCCGCGUGAGUGAUGACGGCCUUCGGUUGUAAGACUCUGUCUGGAGGGACGGAAGGAAGUGACGGUACCGUCCGGAGGAAGACCACGGCUAACUACGUGCCAGCAGCCGCGGUAACGUGAGU
RNAcentral lists this ribosomal RNA (495 nucleotides) under uncultured bacterium. RNAcentral describes it as "bacterial SSU rRNA". It matches the Rfam family "Bacterial small subunit ribosomal RNA", at positions 28 to 532 of the family's 1533-position model. The record is from RNAcentral.